RNAcentral lists this ribosomal RNA (327 nucleotides) under uncultured Bacillota bacterium. RNAcentral describes it as "bacterial SSU rRNA". It matches the Rfam family "Bacterial small subunit ribosomal RNA", at positions 28 to 351 of the family's 1533-position model. Lineage: Bacteria; Bacillati; Bacillota. The record is from RNAcentral.
GACGAACGCUGGUGGCGUGCCUAAUACAUGCAAGUCGAGCGGAUCACACCUUCGGGUGUGGUUAGCGGCGGACGGGUGAGUAACACGUAGGUAACCUGCCUUUAAGACUGGGAUAACUAUCGGAAACGAUAGCUAAGACCGGAUAACUGAUUUUCUCGCAUGAGAGAAUCAUAAAACACGGAGCAAUCUGUGGCUUAGAGAUGGGCCUGCGGCGCAUUAGCUAGUUGGUGAGGUAACGGCUCACCAAGGCGACGAUGCGUAGCCGACCUGAGAGGGUGAACGGCCACACUGGGACUGAGACACGGCCCAGACUCCUACGGGAGGCAG